AGGUAGGGGAUUUUAAAUUAUUUUCCAUUUCAGAGCCAUACAUCAUCUUCUUACAAUUGUAUGUUAAUAUGACAGAAGUAGAGUAGUUGAAUUUUGCUUAUUUAGAGAAUGAUUCCAUAGCAACUUAUUUUUAUUUUCUGAAAAAUAGCCCAAAGAUAUUCUAUUUUUGGUUCCCCUUAAGGAAAUCAGAUUUAGAAAUGAAAAAUUCGGUUUGAAAAUUUCUUAGCUUUCAUUCAGUUCCAUGUAUUUUCUUCUGUUUGUCUCUUUUAUCAUUUAAUUUCCCUUACUGCAUUCUACCUCCUUUCUCUUCUCUCUUGCCCCAUUCUCUAUGGUCAUAUUUUCUUAUUGAAAUGCAUAGCUUCCUUUCUAAGCAAGAAUAUUCCAUAAUCCAUAUCAUAUUCAA
This 403-nucleotide long non-coding RNA is filed under the name Bos taurus (domestic cattle). Its description in RNAcentral is "long non-coding RNA NONBTAT000196". Lineage: Eukaryota; Metazoa; Chordata; Mammalia; Artiodactyla; Bovidae. The record is from RNAcentral.